Non-coding RNA from Dipodomys ordii (Ord's kangaroo rat), 58 nucleotides. NCBI's taxonomy places the organism in Eukaryota, Metazoa, Chordata, Mammalia, Rodentia, Heteromyidae. The record is from Rfam.
UGGCUCAGUGGUAGAGCACUUGCCUUGCAUGCAUGAGGCUCUGGGUUCGAUUCCUCAG